RNAcentral lists this ribosomal RNA (253 nucleotides) under uncultured bacterium. RNAcentral describes it as "partial 16S ribosomal RNA". It matches the Rfam family "Bacterial small subunit ribosomal RNA", at positions 524 to 776 of the family's 1533-position model. The record is from RNAcentral.
GACGAACCGUGCGAACGUUGUUCGGAAUCACUGGGCUUAAAGGGCGCGUAGGCGGCUCCGCCAGUCGGGGGUGAAAUCCCACGGCCUAACCGUGGAAGGGCCUCCGAUACUGCGGGGCUGGAGGGAGGUAGGGGCAGCGGGAACUUCGGGUGGAGCGGUGAAAUGCGUUGAUAUCCGAAGGAACGCCGGUGGCGAAAGCGCGCUGCUGGACCUCUUCUGACGUUGAGGCGCGAAAGCCAGGGGAGCAAACGGG